RNAcentral lists this ribosomal RNA (207 nucleotides) under uncultured Caryophanales bacterium. RNAcentral describes it as "uncultured Bacillales bacterium partial 16S ribosomal RNA". It matches the Rfam family "Bacterial small subunit ribosomal RNA", at positions 568 to 774 of the family's 1533-position model. Lineage: Bacteria; Bacillati; Bacillota; Bacilli; Caryophanales. The record is from RNAcentral.
CGCGCAGGCGGUCCUCUAAGUCUGAUGUGAAAGUCCACGGCUCAACCGUGGAAGGUCAUUGGAAACUGGGGGACUUGAGUGCAGGAGAGGAGAGUGGAAUUCCACGUGUAGCGGUGAAAUGCGUAGAGAUGUGGAGGAACACCAGUGGCGAAGGCGGCUCUCUGGCCUGUAACUGACGCUGAGGCGCGAAAGCGUGGGUAGCGAACA